CCACUCUCCGUUCUCUCCGUUUCUGGCCUGGGGUUUGCGGUUCCUUUUAAUCUAGUGAGGGUUUGGGGUCAUCUGAAGUAGUCAUCGUCCCCGCCCCUCAGACCCUGUCAUAGAAUUUUACUUAUUCAACUGACUUGGUAUUCUCAUGAGGGACCCAGCAGUGAAAAUAAAACACUGAAUAGAAUCCUGCUGGUUUCUGGAAUUUAUCGGAAGUGGAAGCCAGCUGGUGGCAGCAGAAGAGACAAGAUACAGGAUGCAAGGUGGCAGCAAAAGACACCAGAAUUCCAAAAGAUCAAGGUAUUCUUCCUUAGAAUAAAUGUGACCUAAUUUACAAAUAGUUUUAGGUUUCUCUCAAGUAACUAUUUUAAAUAAGGGACAUCCAGCCAAGCUUUUAUUCAUAUCAUUUUUAUUUAGUAUAUUUUUUUAGAGGGGACCAAAUACACAUUUUGGCUAAGCGCAAUAUAGCUACAUGUUAAAAAUCAAUAUGUGGUUGAAGCAGACUACCACCAUCAUGUAAUAAACUUCUGAGAUAUCAGAAUCAAUGUGAAAUACAAAAAUUAGAAAUUAUUGGAGUUCCUUUAUGGCACAGCAGGUUAAGGAUCCAGCAUUGUCACUGAAGCAGCUUGGGUCAUUGCUGUACUGUGGGUUUGAUUCCUGGCCCAGGAACAUCCACAAGCUGUGGGUGUGGCCAAAAUAUUAGAAAUAAUUUUUAAAUUUAAAAUAAUUUAAAUCAUUUUUAAUUUCUGAGGCAUGCAGAAGUUCUGGGGCCAGGGAUCCAACCUGAGCCACAGCAGCAACCUGAGCCACAGCAAUGGCAACACUGAAUCCUUAACCUACUGAGCCAAUAGGGAACUCCAAAAAUUAGAAAUUAUUCAUUUAAAAAUAUUAUAGUUUUGUUGUUAAAAUAUUAGCACUCAGGCUUUUAUUUUUAAAUUUUUAAAUUUUUAAUUUUUUUUUGUCUUUUGUCUCUUUAGGGCCACACCUGUGGCACAUGGAGGUUCCCAGGCUAGGGACUGAAUUGGAGCUGUAGCUGCCAGCCUACACCACAGCCACAGCAACGAGGGAUCUGAGCUGUGUCUGCGACCUACACCACAGCUCACGACAAUGCUGGAUCCUUCACCCACUCAGCAAAGCCAGGGAUCAAACCUGAGUCCUCAUGAAUACUAGUCAGGUUCAUUAGCACUGAGCUACGUUGGGAACUCCCAGUACUCAUAUUUUUAGAGUUUGAUAUUCCAUUCAGGAAUAUAUAUUUUUUGGCCAUGCCAGUGGCAUGUGGAAGUUCCCAGGCCAGGAAUUAAACCCAUGCCACAGCAGUGACCUGAGCCACUGCAGUGACAAUGCCAGAUUCUUAACCUGCUGAGCCACCCAGGAACUCUCCACUCAGGAAUAUUUAUCUCUCAUCAAUAUAAGGU
Molecule: long non-coding RNA, 1412 nt
Filed under: Sus scrofa (pig)
Lineage: Eukaryota; Metazoa; Chordata; Mammalia; Artiodactyla; Suidae
Description: lncRNA (ENSSSCG00025040847.1)
Source: RNAcentral